This is a long non-coding RNA of Motacilla alba alba, 7363 nucleotides long. RefSeq lists it as uncharacterized. The transcript has 4 exons. Lineage: Eukaryota; Metazoa; Chordata; Aves; Passeriformes; Motacillidae. The record is from RefSeq and is a predicted model, not a curated record.
AUGUAUUAAUCAGACUAACUCUGCUGUGCCUUGUAGGAAGCGGGGUCACUGGAUCCCCACAGCUGUUUCUCUAUCCCCGCCUCCCUCCUGGCUUAGCAAAGAGGUGGCUUAUUCUGAGGACUCCAGAGCUCAGCAGAAUGCCCAGCAUUUCUGUCGUGGUACUGGAAGUUACUGUGGUGCUAAAACUGAGACAGUGGGGAACGUCUCAGGCUUUCCUUGCUCGAACCCUAUCAAGUGGAGAGCUUGCAGAUGCAGACUGACUGGUGCACAGGUCUGCUGGGCAGCUGCGUAUUGAAGAAGACAAAGAGAAUGUGGUUAGCAGGAAAAACCAAAAGCUGGAUGGCAAAGGAAGAAGGAGAAACCCCUCUGGGAUCUUAGCAUUAAUCCAUAAUUCUUGGAGUCAAUGUGUGUGUCUGCUAUCAUCAAAUAACUUUGAAAUCAAUGAAAAGGUAAGUGACCUCUCUUGAUUUCUCUGCGUAGAAGACAGCAACAAGCUGCUGGGCAGUUUCCUUGUGUUGUAAAUUUGAAAGGUCAAGUAUUGUUACACUCUGUGUGGGUAGAACUGUAUUUACACAUUAUGAAGUUUCUGGAGAGGCAAGGCAGAGAAAGUAGUACAUGUUUAUACAUCUCUUUUUUUUUUUCUUUAGUUCUUUGAGAAGCUAUAUUCAUAUUAAAGCAAAAUAAAAACCAGCACUCAGAGCCCAGUUUUUGAGACAUGUCGAAGUUGCAAGUUUCCUGUUGGAUAAAGUGUUGUGUGUGCCACCUUCAUUUGGAGAAUGUCUGCAAAUAGGAGGUUACUUUGUACUUUUUAAUUACAAGAUUCCUGCUUCCUACAGUGCGUGAAACUUGGUCCUCAUGGAAUGAAUUUGUCUCUGAUAUUCCCAGAUAAUUUCUUUUCAGAAUAUGUAAACUGAAUGUGCAGGAAAUCAGGCAGAAACAUGCCUCAGAAAAAGAAAGAGUUCAGGAAGCUGCACAGCCUCCCAGCCUGAAAUCCUGUCUUCCUGUAUGACCCUGGCCCAGUCACUCUAGUAAAACCUGGAAAAGUGGUGGAAACUGUGUUUAUGUCAGUCUGCUUUUGGUGUUCAUAAUUGAAAUAUCUAACCAGUUUGGAAAUGUCAAAAGUGAAGACAGUGGGAACCCAGAACACACAAAGUGUUAACACUGGAAAAAAAAAUCAAAGCUCACCUUGGACUUUCAGAACAGGUCGACAUUACUGACUUUGCUCUCUUCACACUCGUGUGUAGAAUUACACCAUCACCUCAUCCAUCAUACAAAGCAUCCCUGAAAAUGCAUGAAUUAAUGUUUUUAAAGUACUCACAGAGGUGACCUGCCCUGUAAAGAAAGAGGAAAAAGCCAUCAGAAAGUGAUAAUCCAUUUCCAAAGAAUUGUUUGCAAGUUGUGUAAUGUACAUCAACAAUUGGAACAAAGUUAUCAAUAGCAAUUGGUUUAGGGAUUCCCACUGUGUAAAGUCAAGAUGUUGCAGGUACAUGAUGACAUGAAUUUUCCCUUGAGAUGUUAUGACAUAUCAAGUACAAAGAAGCAGGAAUUGAAGUUAUAAGUGCAAACUUAAUUAUGGCAUUUCCUAAGCUGCAAGUACCUGAUCACACAACAAGUAUGUAAAUGCAGCAUGUGUCCAAGUCCAAUGCUUAUAAUCUGGCCUAGUAAUCUGUCCAGGAUUAUGCUCCUUGUUGUAUUAAAUAUGAAAUUUGAAUACCUAACCCACGUGUUUUUACAGGCUGCUCAACAACCACUUUUUAAAAUGAGUCAUCACAUUAAUCUCUUUGCCUGCUUGCAUGAUUUAUAUCUUAGUAAAGAUUCACGAUAAUGAAGAGUGAAUGGAUAAAAUAAACAUGCAGUUGCAAAGAUUACAUAUUUUUGCAUUUUAAAAUCAUUAGCUGUGAUUGCUUGCUCUUGCUUUACCCAAUUUAUUGUGCAAAUGUUACUCUCUUAUUGUGGAUAUUUUGAGAGGGAUGGGGUUUCUGUUUAUUCAGGGUUGAUUUCUCUCUCACUGGAGCUGAGUACUUGGAAUAGAAAAGACACGUGCAUGUCAAGAAGUGUUACUUGAAUUUUCAGUUAAAGAGCUUACUGCACUAUAGUGUUGUAUUUUAAGCUUGUCCUCUUGCUAGUCACUAAUUAUUAGAUGUUAUGCAAAUAAUACAAUAAUUGGACUCCUGCACACUCAUCAUGGAAAGCUUUGUGGUUCUUGGGGCUGCACAGACACUGGGACAAUGCAAGCAAAGGUCUCUGCAAGCAAAUUCCACAAAGAGACCUGGGGGUGUCUGACCACGAGAUCGGGGAAGGAAAUUGCUGAAAGGCUGGAGGCUGAUCCUGUGACCAUCACAUCCUCCAAGCCCACAGCCUGCCCCAUCACUGUUUCAAAGCAGGUUAUAUUACAUAUAGAACACAUAGAAAGAGGAAAAAGCGGGUAUAAUCUGAAUCCUGCUAUGGUUAGACUGAGUAUAAUUUUUUUACUUAGACAUUCACUGUUUCACUGUAGAAAUAAGCAGGACAACCCGAGGAUGCUCCACUUACUGUUCUUUCCAGGAUCACUUCCCUUCCAUCAGAAAAACAUUUUCACACACAGGUAGUGGAUCAUGUCCCAUUCUAUUAAUGUUCUCUAUAUCUUAAAUAUGCUUUUGAUUUGUAUUAUUUAUGUUUAUAGUCAUGACUUACGUGCAUAGCAGUGUUCUCGUGUUAUUUUUGUAUAAUAGCACAGAGGGUUUUUCACAGUGAGCUUGUAAAGAUGUCAUUCACAGUUACUGGCUCUUUUUUCUGUGGAUUCAUUUUUCAUUACCAACAUCAGUUUAUGAACAUCACAACGUUCAACUGGAAUACAGUGCAGUUUAAUUAUGGCUUAUACAGUAUUUGAGAACUUUACAAAUAUUGAUUAAUGUUGCCACGUCUCUGUGAAGUAGCAGACAUAUUCAUUUGACAGGUGAGGAAACUGAGGCACGGAGAGCUUAUUUGGAUGACCUAAGAUCACUUAGCAGAUCUGAGACAGUGCAGGCCUUUAAUACAGGAUCACCUUUAAUCUCUGCAGCAGCACGGCUGUUAUUUUCACAUGAGGACAGUUAUAGAUUAGCAUCAGUGUCUGUUCAGAUAUUAAUCUCUACUGAUUCAUUUACCUACAAAACUAUUUCAAGACAAAUUAGAACAUAUUUCUGCUUCAGGCAAAGCUGUUUGUUGCUUGUAUUGUGGUAAAACUUAAUCUAUGUGUUUAAAAAUAAAUCGGUUUGUCAAGGCAUUGCUGUAAUUGGUGUAUCAGCACAGUUUUCACUCACCAGAAGGAUGAUUGAAUCAGAGGAAGAAAAUCCUUGAGGAAAAGUUGAAGAAGCAUUACAAGGACUGAAUUUGGAAGAAUAUUUAUACCAAUGCAGAAGCCCAAGACAGGAAAACCUGAUCAAGUGAUGGAGUUCAGUCCAGCUAGAGCAAGAUGUAUUUUACUGGGUGUUUUAGUCUAAAGGAACUAGAUGGUAAGAGAUGGUAGAGUCUUAUUUUCCAAGGUGUUGGUCAUCACACUGGCUGCAAAUUUGCAUUGCAUUUUGCCUAUUCCAAUCUUGAAUUGUUGUUUUGUGAACUUUUUAGUAGUAAAACAUUCCAGAUGAAACAGAAGCAAAUGAGGACAGAGGUUAUUCAAUUUUCUCAUUUACUGGACAGGUGAAAUUAAUAAUUUUUUAUUACUACAGCAUUACUGUGUCAGUGCUCUCUGUCUGUUAGCAAUUGAUAUUAGCUUAAUUCUGUGAGAAAACUGUUCUGUUCAUAACCUGAACUGCAGGUGUUUAAACUUGGAGAAAUUGAUGACAGGAGAAGGAAUUCUUUCAUUUUUCUACCAGUCCUUUAAUUUUUUCAGUUUUGUGAAAUUCCCAAGAUUGAAAAUGUUUCACUUUAACUUUUCUCAUUGUUUUGUGAGAGAAAAAUACAAACAUAAAGGAACUGAAUCUAGAUUAUAAUGUAAAACAAAAUAUUUCCUCUAUUUCCAAAAUAAACCAUUGGCUCUUGGGUAUUCUUAGUUCCCAUGUUUGAAUGUAUUGAUGAGUUUUGCUUCCUUAAACCGUAGUGAAUCACAUAACCCUCCCAGAAAUUCAUUUUCAGCACUUGAACACAGCAUGUUUGGCUUUUGGGGGACUUUUGCAUGAAAAUAUUUUCUGUCUUGGACUUCAUAAGUUCCUCUAUAUGACAGUAACAGACUGUAGGGGAAUGUAGUGGACUGUUACAUGACAUUUAUACUGCAGUAUUGAUUCUAGAGCCAUCUACCAGAAUCUCAUGAUGGAUGGAGGAUUUAAAGGAAGCCCCUUCUGUUUGGACAAAGAGGGAAGGAGGAUGUUGAGUAGAUGAAGAUCCCAAAAUGGCAUGUGGAUUUUCUUUUUUUAAGAGCAAUGCGAGGAAAAAUCUUUGAAAGUAUCCUGAGAACACAUACCUGAAUGUGCAGAAAGUAAAGGGAAGAAAGGAUAUGAGCUGAAAAGAACUUUAGCUGCAAGUCUGAAAAAAAAUUUGAAAGACCUCCUGCAGCAAGUGAGGAAUUCUGCAGCAGAAGAGCCAAGUGCACAUGGGUCAGAGGGUGAGACCCUCUGUGGGCAUUCAUCUGCAUGUACAGUCAGUAGAAACUGUGGCUUUGGUAGACAGUCUUGGCAUGGAUACUUAAAGUAUUUUUUAUUUUUUCAUUUUAUGUUAACUGAAAAUACAUAUUAUUGACACAUGUGUGUGAUUUGGAAUAUGUCAGAUGAAAUGUGAAUAUUCUAAACUGAUAUAUGCAGAUAAUUACCUAUAAAAGAUAAUUAGCCUUAAGAGUCUUUUGCCUUGUCAAGAUGGGAAGACAAGUCAGGGGAGUCUAAAUUCUUUUUUUGAUAGAUGCCUCAGUCUCUUUCUAAUUCAGAACUUAAUUAAUAGAACAGAAAAAAAAUAAUGAUCCAAAUAUGUACUGAAGUGUUUUUAACAUUAAUCAAAUUUACUUGAAAGUUCUCAAUGAGUUUUGAAAUACGAUUUUGUGAUGUUGCAGCCAACUUUGACCUUUGAAGCCCAGUGUUCUAAGGCACAGGAGGCAGAGCUCAUUCAUGUAGACUUUUCCUUUGUGCUCUGUUCACUGCAGUCGUUGCUGUUUUGUGCCCUUGCAGCUCUACUGAAGAUGCAGAACCCUUAUGGGCUGUAUUCAUCUUCUCUGCUCAGCUGCAGCUGCCCUCCUUCUGCAAGCCUCUGAAAAACUGUGCUAUGAUUUAGGUGUUGGCUAAGACAUGAUUUAUAUCUAAAUAUAACUCUUAAUUACUCUCUGCAAUUGUUAUGUGGCUAGUGACAUUUUAGUAUAUGAACUUAAUAUGAAAACUUGAUGAUAAAAUAUUGUUGUUAUAAGAAACCAUUUCAGUAUAAAAUUGUUGAUAGACUAUAAAUUCUGAUAAUAUCUAUUUGGGAGCUACUGAAAUAAAUAAUAAAUACUUGAAAGAUUUUCCAAGAAUGGGAAAUGCUUGGUUCAGAAAAAAAAAUUAUACUAGUUUUUGUCCCAUUUUCUGAUUUUAUUAAACUGUAAUGAAACUGAUGGGAUGCUUCAGAUAACCAGAAAGAAAUAUUAACCUUGCUACACUACAAAAUGUUGUACUUCAAGGGCCCAGGUAAUUUAAUUCUAAUUAUUGCAGCAAAGUAUUUCUCUUGUGAUAGAAAAGAAAAUGCAGGAGGUAACUGAAAGCUUUUGCUUACAAGAUUGGAAUCAAAAUAGAAAAGUCUGUAAGAAGCUGGGGCUCCUACAGCUGGCCAGUGCUGGGACAUGAAUAGUAAAUACCAAAGAACAUAAAGGUUUCUGACCUUCCUGGGCCAGUUUAAAGGUUCAUUAAUCCAGUGCCCUCUCUCCAUCUGUGUUCACAAGCAAAUAUUUAGAGAAAAAACCCCUGAUUCUUCCCAGCAUAAUCUCCAAUUUCAAGGUAAGCAAUAUUUGCUAGGUUUUGUAGCUAAUAUCCCAUGAUGAAUUCCUCUUUUGUGAAUUUAUCUGCUCAUUUUAAAUACAUACUACCCACAGUAUAUCAGAAUCUUUUGCAACCUAUGUGUUGUGGGAAGAUGUACCUUACCUUUAUUUCUUGGGCCUUUGUCUGGUAACUCUUUGGUCUUUCCCUAUUCACCUUCUCCACUGCCUCUCACAGUAAGUCACUGUGGUAUCCUUGUGGUCUUUUCCAGGCUGAAAAUCCCUUUGUAUUUUGUAAUUCCCUUACAGAAACUGGUGUGCAACUUCUGUUAUGUCAUCCUCCUCUGUGUCUUUUCUUAUUUUAUCUUUGUUGAGAAGGCUGAAGUGGUACUCAAGAUUUAGUCACACCAGUCUUUUCUUAAAAGAAAAUUACUGUUUUCUCUUUUGCUUUUUACUUUUUGUAGUAAUCCCCACUUAUGCUCUAUGUUUUAUUGACUGUUACUGAGCAUUAAACUCAUGGUCUGUAUCUUAUUUCCUGAGUAGGCACCAGGUAGUUCAGGGACUGUCACUGAACACACACAGGUAAUGACUGAUUUGUACCUUUAGCUUGGUUUAAAUGUAUGGAUUUGUUUUUCCCAGGGGACAGCAGUGGAUGUUAUUCCCCCCAGGAAAGCUUUUGACACUGUUUGCCAUAACAUCACUGCAGACAGGGUGACGGAGUUUAGGGCAGACAAGAGGACAGCGAGGCAGGUUGAAAACUGCCUGAAAUGCCAGGGCUCAGGGGGCUGUGACUGGUGGCACAAUUCUGGAGGCCAGCCACCAGUGGGGGAUCCAGGGGCUUGACAUUGGGCCCCUCCCAGUUCAGCAUCCCCUAGAAUGACCAGAACGAUGGGGCACACCCUCAGCAGCUCCAGAGACAAACAAAACUGGGAGGGGUGGCUGGUUCACUGCGGGGCUGGUGCUGCAGGGGGACUCGGCAGACUGGGAAUGGAAAGAAACUGGAAAUGGAAGAAACCUUUUGACAUUCAAUAAAGGGAAGUGCCAAGACCAGCCCCUGGGGAGGAACAACCCCAAGCACCAGCACACCCUGGGACCCAGUGUGUGGAAAGCAGCCCCGCAGAAGGACCUUGCUGGCCCUGGUAGCAACACGAGGCAGUGACUCAGUGCCCUCAUGGCGAAGGUGGCCAGUGGUGACCUGGACUGCACUGAGAGGGAGGCUGCCAGCAGCUCGACGAGUCACCCAUGGCACCUCUCAGACUGGAGAACUGGUAACGGAGUUCCUAUGCUGUGCUUUUUAACCUUCUGCCUUCAUAGUUUAUUCUUUUGAAGGCUUUCUUCACAUUACCUGGAAAUUUCUCCAAUGGUCCUUGAUGCAAAGCAGUGUUAAAAUGGCUUUGGAAGUCCAGCUGUAUGAAAUGAUCUCUUUGCAUGUUGCUGAUGCCCUCAAAGUGCACAUCUGUGAGGUAUGACAUCCCUCUG